UACGUAGGGGGCAAGCGUUGUCCGGAUUUAUUGGGCGUAAAGAGCGUGUAGGCGGCCACACAGGUCAGCUGUGAAAACUCGAGGCUCAACCUCGAGACGUCGGUUGAAACCGUAUGGCUAGAGUCCGGAAGAGGAGAGUGGAAUUCCCGGUGUAGCGGUGAAAUGCGCAGAUAUCGGGAAGAACACCCGUGGCGAAGGCGGCUCUCUGGGACGGUACUGACGCUGAGACGCGAAAGCGUGGGAG
Molecule: ribosomal RNA, 244 nt
Filed under: uncultured bacterium
Lineage: Bacteria
Description: partial 16S ribosomal RNA
Rfam family: Bacterial small subunit ribosomal RNA
Source: RNAcentral